GGGGCCUUAGCUCAGUGGUAGAGCGUGUGAUUCCAGUUUUCGGAUGUCCACAAGGUCGUGCGUUCAACUCGCUCAGGCCUCA
This 82-nucleotide transfer RNA is filed under the name Desarmillaria tabescens. Its description in RNAcentral is "Armillaria tabescens (ringless honey mushroom) tRNA". It matches the Rfam family "tRNA". From Rfam's summary of the family: Transfer RNA (tRNA) molecules are approximately 80 nucleotides in length. The record is from Rfam by way of RNAcentral. Lineage: Eukaryota; Fungi; Basidiomycota; Agaricomycetes; Agaricales; Physalacriaceae.